UAUGAGAUUGCUGGAUUCCCACGGGUUG
This 28-nucleotide small RNA is filed under the name Bombyx mori (domestic silkworm). RNAcentral describes it as "ovarian small RNA-6633". The record is from RNAcentral. Lineage: Eukaryota; Metazoa; Arthropoda; Insecta; Lepidoptera; Bombycidae.